CAGCGCCGCGGUAAUACGGAGGAUCCGAGCGUUAUCCGGAAUUAUUGGGUUUAAAGGGUGCGUAGGCGGAUAGAUAAGUCAGUGGUGAAAGACGGUGGCUCAACCAUCGCAGUGCCGUUGAUACUGUUUAUCUUGAAUAUGGAUGAGGUAGGCGGAAUGUGGCAAGUAGCGGUGAAAUGCAUAGAUAUGCCACAGAACACCGAUUGCGAAGGCAGCUUACCAAGGCAAAAUUGACGCUGAGGCACGAAAGCGUGGGGAUCGAACAGGAUUAGAGACCCCAGUAGUCCCUGUCUCUUAUACC
Molecule: ribosomal RNA, 301 nt
Filed under: uncultured bacterium
Lineage: Bacteria
Description: partial 16S ribosomal RNA
Rfam family: Bacterial small subunit ribosomal RNA
Source: RNAcentral